GUGCUCGCUUCAGCAGCGCAUAUACUAAAAUUGGAAAGACACAGAGAAGAUUAGCAUGGCCCCUGCACAAGGAUGACACGCAAAUUCGUGAAGCGUUCCAUCUUCUU
Molecule: small nuclear RNA, 107 nt
Organism: Delphinapterus leucas (beluga whale)
Lineage: Eukaryota; Metazoa; Chordata; Mammalia; Artiodactyla; Monodontidae
Source: Ensembl